GCUGAGGGGGCAACUGGGAGCACUGGGAGCAACUGGGGGGGCAACUGGGAGCGGCUGGGGGGCAACUGGGAGCACUGGGGGGCAACUGGUCCUUACUGGUCCUUACUGGUUGUUAGUAGGUCUUAUUGGUCCUUACUGGUUGUUAGUAGUUCUUAGUGGUCCUUACUGGUUCUUAUUGGUGUUACUGGUCCUUACUGGUCCUUACUGGUGUUACUGGUCCUUACUGGUUUUUACGGCUCUUUACUGGUUCUUCCUGGUUUUUGCUGGUGUUACUGGUCCUUACUGGUGUUACUGGUCCUUAUUGGUCCUUAAUGGUCCUUACUGGUGUUACCGGUGCUACUGGUCCUUACUGGUCCUUACUGGUAUUAGUGGUUGUUACUGGUUGUUACUGGUAUUACUACUCCUUACUGGUGUUACUGAUCCUUACUGGUCCUUACUGGUCCUUACUGGUGUUACUGAUCCUUACUGGUCCUUACUGGUCCUUACUGGUGCUACUGGUCCUUACUGGUCCUUACUGGUGUUACUGAUCCUUAUUGGUCCUUACUGGUCCUUACUGGUAUUACUGGUCCUUACUGGUCCUUAUUGGUGUUACUGGUCCUUACUGGUCCUUACUAAUCCUUACUGGUCCUUACUGGUCCUUACUGGUGCUACUGGUCCUUACUGGUGUUACUGGUGUUACUGGUGUUACUGGUCCUUACUGGUCCUUACUGGUGCUACUGGUCCUUACUGGUGUUAUUGGUCCUUACUGGUGUUACUGGUGCUACUGGUCCUUACUGGUGCUACUGGUCCUUACUGGUCCUUACUGGUGUUGCCGGUGCCCGCUUGCAGCGCCGCCAGCAGCAGCCGCCACAACCCGGUGCAGCUGUGGGACGCCUACGACGGCCGCGUCAGGGGCAGCUUCCGGGCCCACAACCACCUGGUGAG
This 924-nucleotide long non-coding RNA is filed under the name Phasianus colchicus (ring-necked pheasant). RNAcentral describes it as "lncRNA (ENSPCLG00000020108.1)". The record is from RNAcentral. Lineage: Eukaryota; Metazoa; Chordata; Aves; Galliformes; Phasianidae.